Molecule: ribosomal RNA, 253 nt
Filed under: uncultured bacterium
Lineage: Bacteria
Description: partial 16S ribosomal RNA
Rfam family: Bacterial small subunit ribosomal RNA
Source: RNAcentral
UACGAAGGGGGCUAGCGUUGUUCGGAAUCACUGGGCGUAAAGGGCGCGUAGGCGGCCGCUCAAGUCGGGGGUGAAGGCCUGUGGCUUAACCACAGAAUUGCCUUCGAUACUGUUUGGCUUGAGACCGGAAGAGGUGAGUGGAACUGCGAGUGUAGAGGUGAAAUUCGUAGAUAUUCGCAAGAACACCAGUGGCGAAGGCGGCUCACUGGUCCGGUUCUGACGCUGAGGCGCGAAAGCGUGGGGAGCAAACAGG